This 427-nucleotide ribosomal RNA is filed under the name uncultured bacterium. Its description in RNAcentral is "bacterial SSU rRNA". It matches the Rfam family "Bacterial small subunit ribosomal RNA", at positions 355 to 774 of the family's 1533-position model. The record is from RNAcentral.
UGGGGAAUAUUGGACAAUGGGCGCAAGCCUGAUCCAGCCAUACCGCGUGGGUGAAGAAGGCCUUCGGGUUGUAAAGCCCUUUUGUUGGGAAAGAAAAGCAGCCGGUUAAUACCCGGUUGUUCUGACGGUACCCAAAGAAUAAGCACCGGCUAACUUCGUGCCAGCAGCCGCGGUAAUACGAAGGGUGCAAGCGUUACUCGGAAUUACUGGGCGUAAAGCGUGCGUAGGUGGUUGUUUAAGUCUGUCGUGAAAGCCCUGGGCUCAACCUGGGAAUGGCGAUGGAAACUGGGCGACUAGAGUGUGGCAGAGGGUAGUGGAAUUCCAGGUGUAGCAGUGAAAUGCGUAGAGAUCAGGAGGAACAUCCGUGGCGAAGGCGACUGCCUGGGCCAACACUGACACUGAGGCACGAAAGCGUGGGUAGCAAACA